This 465-nucleotide ribosomal RNA is filed under the name uncultured bacterium. RNAcentral describes it as "partial 16S ribosomal RNA". It matches the Rfam family "Bacterial small subunit ribosomal RNA", at positions 338 to 795 of the family's 1533-position model. The record is from RNAcentral.
UCUACGGGAGGCAGCAGUGGGGAAUAUUGCGCAAUGGGCGAAAGCCUGACGCAGCGACGCCGCGUGAGGGAUGAAGGUCUUCGGAUCGUAAACCUCUGUCAGCAGGGAAGAACGGUCACUGUGCUAAUCAGCAGUGAAUUGACGGUACCUGCAAAGGAAGCACCGGCUAACUCCGUGCCAGCAGCCGCGGUAAGACGGAGGGUGCGAGCGUUAAUCGUAAUUACUGGGCGUAAAGCGCUCGUAGGCGGUAUGUCAAGUCAAGGGUGAAAUCCCCGCGCUCAACGUGGGAACUGCCUUUGAAACUGGCAAACUGGAGUGUGUGAGAGGAUAGUGGAAUUCCAGGUGUAGGAGUGAAAUCCGUAGAUAUCUGGAGGAACAUCAGUGGCGAAGGCGACUAUCUGGCACAUAACUGACGCUGAGGAGCGAAAGCGUGGGUAGCAAACAGGAUUAGAUACCCGUGUAGUC